UGGCGGCGUGCUAAUACAUGCAAGUCGAGCGAACGGACGAGAAGCUUGCUUCUCUGAUGUUAGCGGCGGACGGGUGAGUAACACGUGGAUAACCUACCUAUAAGACUGGGAUAACUUCGGGAAACCGGGAGCUAAUACCGGAUGAUAUUUUGAACCGCAUGGUUCAAAAGUGAAAGACGGUCUUACUGUCACUUAUAGAUGGAUCCGCGCUGCAUUAGCUAGUUGGUAAGGUAACGGCUUACCAAGGCAACGAUGCAUAGCCGACCUGAGAGGGUGAUCGGCCACACUGGAACUGAGACACGGUCCAGACUCCUACGGGAGGCAGCAGUAGGGAAUCUUCCGCAAUGGGCGAAAGCCUGACGGAGCAACGCCGCGUGAGUGAUGAAGGUCUUCGGAUCGUAAAACUCUGUUAUUAGGGAAGAACAUAUGUGUAAGUAACUGUGCACAUCUUGACGGUACCUAAUCCGAAAGCCACGGCUAACUACGUGCCAGCAGCCGCGGUAAUACGUAGGUGGCAAGCGUUAUCCGGAAUUAUUGGGCGUAAAGCGCGCGUAGGCGGUUUUUUAAGUCUGAUGUGAAAGCCCACGGCUCAACCGUGGAGGGUCAUUGGAAACUGGAAAACUUGAGUGCAGAAGAGGAAAGUGGAAUUCCAUGUGUAGCGGUGAAAUGCGCAGAGAUAUGGAGGAACACCAGUGGCGAAGGCGACUUUCUGGUCUGUAACUGACGCUGAUGUGCGAAAGCGUGGGGAUCAAACAGGAUUAGAUACCCUGGUAGUCCACGCCGUAAACGAUGAGUGCUAAGUGUUAGGGGGUUUCCGCCCCUUAGUGCUGCAGCUAACGCAUUAAGCACUCCGCCUGGGGAGUACGACCGC
Molecule: ribosomal RNA, 871 nt
Filed under: uncultured Staphylococcus sp.
Lineage: Bacteria; Bacillati; Bacillota; Bacilli; Caryophanales; Staphylococcaceae
Description: bacterial SSU rRNA
Rfam family: Bacterial small subunit ribosomal RNA
Source: RNAcentral